This 73-nucleotide transfer RNA is filed under the name Photorhabdus tasmaniensis. RNAcentral describes it as "tRNA-Lys". The stretch from base 5 to 62 matches the Rfam family "tRNA", at positions 8 to 63 of the family's 71-position model. Rfam says of the family: Transfer RNA (tRNA) molecules are approximately 80 nucleotides in length. The record is from RNAcentral. Lineage: Bacteria; Pseudomonadati; Pseudomonadota; Gammaproteobacteria; Enterobacterales; Morganellaceae.
UCGUUAGCUCAGUCGGUAGAGCAGUUGACUUUUAAUCAAUUGGUCGCCGGUUCGAGCCGAGCGAAGCGAGACA